GCAGGCCGAUGCUAAAAACAGUGAGGCCCCGUGAGAAAGUGAGCUCGCAGCGUGUAACUGUGAUGGAUUUGUGUGUGAAAUGAAUCAGUAUUAGGGGCAGCAGACAGGAGCAGUGGAGCUGUGUGCCGUCGGAUAGUUUUUGCAGUUUCCGUCCUGGUUUGUGAGACGCUGAAGUGGACCAUUGAUUCUUGAUUCUCCUCUUGACGAAGGAGCUUGCCAGCCACCCUGGGACGUCAUCAUUCCUCAUUCUUGAGGAUGGAAACAUCUCGUCCUUCACUUUCUCAUUUCGAUGACACCAUAUCACGUUUGAGUCUGAGCAGCGUGGCGGUGGUUGGGGAGCAGUAGAUGGGCC
Plectropomus leopardus (leopard coralgrouper) is the source of this 352-nucleotide non-coding RNA. The record is from RefSeq and is a predicted model, not a curated record. NCBI's taxonomy places the organism in Eukaryota, Metazoa, Chordata, Actinopteri, Perciformes, Serranidae.